UUCCAGACUCCUACGGGAGGCAGCAGUGGGGGAUAUUGCACAAUGGGGGGAACCCUGAUGCAGCGACGCCGCGUGAGUGAAGAAGUAUUUCGGUAUGUAAAGCUCUAUCAGCAGGGAAGAAAAUGACGGUACCUGGAGAAUAAGCCACGGCUAACUACGUGCCAGCAGCCGCGGUAAUACGUAGGUGGCGAGCGUUGUCCGGAAUUACUGGGUGUAAAGGGAGCGUAGACGGUGAAGUAAGUCUGGAGUGAAAGGCGGGGGCCCAACCCCCGGACUGCUCUGGAAACUAUUUGACUGGAGUGCAGGAGAGGUAAGCGGAAUUCCUAGUGUAGCGGUGAAAUGCGUAGAUAUUAGGAGGAACACCAGUGGCGAAGGCGGCUUACUGGACUGUAACUGACGUUGAGGCUCGAAAGCGUGGGGAGCAAACAGGAUUAGAUACCCCUGUA
RNAcentral lists this ribosomal RNA (446 nucleotides) under uncultured bacterium. RNAcentral's name for it is "bacterial SSU rRNA". It matches the Rfam family "Bacterial small subunit ribosomal RNA", at positions 329 to 792 of the family's 1533-position model. The record is from RNAcentral.